AUGUAAAUAUCUGCAGCAGUGACUGGUGUCCAGGCUAUUUUACAGACUGAACCAACAACCAGGGAGGGAUUUUUACAAUAUUCCUGUCACUUCACCCUGGAUUCAAACACAGCUAAUGGAAAAGGAGGGUGGAGGAGAGAGCUGAGCUCCAGUCAUAUCCUGAUCAUCCAGAGAGAUUUUAUAAGAGACCUCAGGUGCUGUGUAGAGAGGGUGUGUCUGGACGCUGCUACUGGGAGGUUGAGUGGAGUGUCCAUGUGUCUAUAGCAAUGGCAUAUAAGAGCAUCAGCAGGAAAGGAGGACGUAAUGUGUGUUUGGAUGGAAUGAUCAGUCCUGGAUGCUGGAUGUCUCCUGCUCCAGAUGCUCUUUCUGGCACAAUAAUAAAGUGACUAAACUCCCUCUAGUGGCCAGCUCCAGAAUAGGAGUGUAUGUGGAUCACAGGGCAGGAACUCUGGCCUUCUACAGCAUCUCUGACACAAUGACCCUCCUGCACAGAGUCCAGACCACAUUCACUCACACACUCUACCCUGGAUUUGCAUUAGCUUGUGUAUCUUCAUUGAAACUG
Alosa sapidissima (American shad) is the source of this 562-nucleotide long non-coding RNA. RefSeq lists it as uncharacterized. NCBI's taxonomy places the organism in Eukaryota, Metazoa, Chordata, Actinopteri, Clupeiformes, Clupeidae. The record is from RefSeq and is a predicted model, not a curated record. The transcript is spliced from 3 exons.